UGCAUCUUCGACCACCACCAUGGGAAAUAUGAUCCAUACAAAUAUAUUACAUUGAAACAAAUUUUCUCUCUGCAAAUCUUAGGCGUCCAAGACAUGGUUCUAGUGGUCGAACUACUGUUGCACUCCAUGAUAGAUUCGCAAUUCAACCAAGAAAAUCAAAGAACUGGGCAGAAAAUAAAAGAGAAGAAAAAAACUUAGUUUUUUAAUUGAUGAAACACUCCACUCUCAUCUCCAACUCAAGCUCUUACUAAAACAUCCCCAAGUAUCCAGACCAAACCCAUUGUAAAAACAGGAUCUCACUGUUUAUGAUCAACACAUCAACAAAGCAUUGGCAAAGGCUCUAAACAAACAUCCAUAUGAUUGUUGACAACAUCUAAAUCAAAAACAAAUUGGAAACCCAUUUGAAUUCUCACUUGCCACCAAAUUACCCUGUCAAGAACCGAAGCAAAAAACGAAAAAUGGGGGAAGCAAAAAACGAAAAAUGGGGAAAGAAAAUAUCACCCAGAUACUAGAGAAUAACUAAUUCAAUUUUCACAUCCAACCAUUAGAAACCAAAGCCAUUGGAUACAAUGAAGCAGAUUAAAAGCAUUGGGUGCGUAUUUACGAAUGAUGUGGUUUGGAACCAUUACCAAGAUCAAAAGAAAAGUUGAAUACCUUCGAAGUUCCAUACCAAAUGAACCAAUCAACCAAGAUGAAAAAGAAGUUCAUGCCUCAAACCUUGAUAUGUUCUCUUCACCUCUCUUCUCACAGCCUUAGGUGGUGGCAAUUGUGCAGAAAAUGGUGGAGGUGGCAACGACCGCGAUUAAGGAUGAGGUUGAUAACAUUCCCAUGGAAGAUUUGAGAGAUGGGCGGAGAGAAUAAUGUGCAAUGGGUUUGAGAGAGG
Molecule: unclassified non-coding RNA, 883 nt
Filed under: Hevea brasiliensis (rubber tree)
Lineage: Eukaryota; Viridiplantae; Streptophyta; Magnoliopsida; Malpighiales; Euphorbiaceae
Source: RNAcentral